Folsomia candida is the source of this 681-nucleotide long non-coding RNA. RefSeq lists it as uncharacterized. The record is from RefSeq and is a predicted model, not a curated record. The transcript has 2 exons. NCBI's taxonomy places the organism in Eukaryota, Metazoa, Arthropoda, Collembola, Entomobryomorpha, Isotomidae.
GCACGUAUGCAUAUGUAACUUCCUACUUCUUCUCUACCAAGGCCACUACGAUAAAGUAUAAUACAAAUUUGUAUCAAAUUUUAAUAUGUAUCACAAUCUUCUAUUUAUGUACAAUUGUACGUACAUACGCACAAAGAGCAGUCAGACGAAAAAUAUUUCCUGGCUAAAAUUCCAUCAGAAAUCCAAUAUAUAAAGCCAACUGUGCAACAGAUUUUUAACAAGAACCAAAAUUCCAACACUAAUUUCUGCUUUGAAGUAACAUUUAAACUUUAGCAGAAUGUUUCCCAAAAAUUGUGCACUUUUGGCACUAAUUUAUCUAAUCCUCGUGAUAAAUCUGAUCCACGUGUCGAAUGGGAGUCCAAACCCGAUCGUGUGGACGGAUACGAAUAAUUUUGAGCCUGCGAUUAUACCAAGAGUCUCAGGAUUCAACUUAUCCAAUGUUGACAUAAAUUUUGCCUCGUGGGCACAACUCUUAAGCCUUGGACGAUAAGUUGCAAAGUUAGAUAUAAAAUAUUCACUAAAUAGAUAAAUAAGCUUGUUCAAAUAAACUCUUGUAAAAACGGAAUAUAAAAAAGUGGCGAAACCAAAUAUGUUUUUUUUUGUAAUCCACCAUUGAAUAGAGUCUAAAAUACAUAUGUAAUGAAUACAACCGAAAGAAACAUUACUGAUUCGGAAUAAAAA